This 253-nucleotide ribosomal RNA is filed under the name uncultured bacterium. Its description in RNAcentral is "partial 16S ribosomal RNA". It matches the Rfam family "Bacterial small subunit ribosomal RNA", at positions 524 to 776 of the family's 1533-position model. The record is from RNAcentral.
UACGGGGGGGGCAAGCGUUGUUCGGAAUUACUGGGCGUAAAGGGCGCGUAGGCGGCCUGCUAAGUCGGAUGUGAAAUCCCUCGGCUCAACCGAGGAACUGCAUCCGAUACUGGCGGGCUUGAAUCCGGGAGAGGGAUGUGGAAUUCCAGGUGUAGCGGUGAAAUGCGUAGAUAUCUGGAGGGACACCGGUGGCGAAGGCGGCAUCCUGGACCGGUAUUGACGCUGAGGCGCGAAAGCUAGGGGAGCAAACGGG